Molecule: non-coding RNA, 910 nt
Organism: Onychostoma macrolepis
Lineage: Eukaryota; Metazoa; Chordata; Actinopteri; Cypriniformes; Cyprinidae
Source: the annotation of a RefSeq genome assembly
CACAUGAAAUUAAUGCUUUGAAGAGUCUUUAAUCAAUCAGUAUCAAAACACAUAAUGUUUUUAUAAACCACAAAGAGGGAAUGUGGUAACAGCUGUGAAUUUGUGAGGUAAAAAGGGUUACAUAAGGGCAUGUGAAUACAAUUUAGCAUGUAUUGCAUACUCUUCUCAUGUUAGCUUGUUUGUUAGGUUAUCUCUUUUCUCAUAUUAUGUUGUUAGUCUCAUUAAAUACUCAUGUAUAAACAAAAUGUUAUCAAAAAACAAAGAAUUAAAAGAAAUAAGCAUAUAUUUAAACAGCUAUAAAUGCUCAUUUCACAUUUCAUGUGCUUCAGAUUUAAUGUCAGGGCAGGAGGAGGAGUUUAGCAUAGACACUAUACAGCAUACAGCUGGGUAAAGAUGAAUAUCACACAACACUGUGUGGAGCAGCUGCUCUGUUUUUAGUUUGUUCUUACUAUACUGUGGUCCAGUGAGUGAACAUGUUGAUCUAUAUUAUUAUACUGCUGUCAUCAAUUGAAGGUUCCAGAGCCUCAGAAGUCAUCACUCCAAAAAGUGUCAGAGUAUUUGCUCUUGAGGGUGACAAUGUGACACUCUCCUGUAACUACAGCGGUUCUGCUCGUGGUGUUCACUGGUAUCGCCAAUAUGCAGGUUUACCACCACAGUUCCUCAUACUGGAAGAUUCAGGGGUAACAACUCCAGCUAAUCCACCUGUUCCAGGAAUAACCAUCAAUCACAGAAAAACAGAAAUCCAUGUGGAUCUGAUCAUCUCCUCUGCCAACGUGUCAGACUCUGCUCUGUACUACUGUGCUCUGCAGCCCACAGUGACAGGAAACCCUAUAACACUGUACAAAAACAGUUUUCAUGUGCUUAUCAAACCUUGAUAGAAAUGUACAAACCACAGCUGGACUCAACAGCA